GGUGAGAUGGCUCAGUGGGUAAGAGCACCCGACUGCUCUUCCGAAGGUUCAGAGUUCAAAUCCCAGCAACCA
Molecule: transfer RNA, 72 nt
Filed under: Mus musculus (house mouse)
Lineage: Eukaryota; Metazoa; Chordata; Mammalia; Rodentia; Muridae
Description: tRNA-Ser
Source: RNAcentral